This 16863-nucleotide long non-coding RNA is filed under the name Vitis vinifera (wine grape). RNAcentral describes it as "long non-coding RNA (VVIN_LNC006974)". Lineage: Eukaryota; Viridiplantae; Streptophyta; Magnoliopsida; Vitales; Vitaceae. The record is from RNAcentral.
GGGGCGCUUCGCAAAUGGGUAAUCGAGAAAGCCCAUGAGUUGGCGGGGGAGGUUGGUGCGGAGAGAGUGGUAGAGGCUGGUACCGACGACGUCGCGGGCCGGGUCGAGGCUGAGCGGAUCGGAGUCGACUCGUGAGUCGUAUAGCCAGGUUCCGCCGAGACUGUGUCGUUUUUCGAGGACGACGACGUGGUGGCCUUCCCGAUGGAGCUCGCGGGCGGCAGCAAGGCCGGCGACGCCUGCUCCGAUUACCGCCACUCUCGCUGAUUGGGCCAUUGGGAGUGAGACGGCGCCGUCUGGCGAGUGCGAUCGCCUUUCUUCUCAAAAUAACCUGCGAACGGUGCAGGAAAUGAAUGUGAUGGCGUGCUGAGGAUGAAGACUAUGAAUAUGCGCACGUGACAUAAAUUUUUCAAUUUUAUUAUACCCAAGUGGCAAUAAGGAACGAAAAUUACUCUAAUCAAAUAAUGGAAGUAAUUAAAAGAAGACAAGUCAUCUCUAUAGGAUAAAAUGGGUUGGGAUAAAUAUUUAAGGGUAGAUAUUUAAAAAAAAAAAAUUCCCUUUUCAAAUAAAUUAAAAUGAAAUGAUUUGAAAUUUUUCUAUCUUAAUUCACACUUGUAUAAUUUCUUGCUUUGUGGGAUUUUUUUUUUUUUUUUUUUUAUAUGUAUGAGAGGUAAUGAAAAGAAUUAUAAAAUGGAUUGUUAUCGAUGAUGAUGGGAUUGUAAUGAGGUGCAUGCUCAAAAACAUUUUAAGGAAUUGGUGUGGCAUAAAGUGGAGAUCUAGGGAAGUGGAACAAAAUUCUCAUUUAAGGUCUUUGGAAGGUUAUGGCAAUGAAAAAGUUUUAAAAAAAUUUAGGUUUAUUUAUUUUGUAAAGAAAGGAGAUUGUUAGGAAUUGUUUAUUUGAAUAAUAUUCAUUUAUUUAAAUAAAUAAAAUAUUUUUGACUCAUUUUAAUUAAAUUAGAGAUAUUAUUUCAAAUGUCACUUUCUAUGUAGUUAUGUCUUUUCAAUUAAUAUAAAUAAUAGAGUUGUAUUGGGCUUUAUAUCCGUGGGAUAAUAUUUUUAAAAGUUCACGAUUUUCAAAUACAUCAAUUUGAUUAAGAUAUAUAUAUAUAUAUAUAUAUAUAUAUAUAUAUAUAUAUAUAUAUAUAUAUAGCAUUAAGAAUUCUCUCCCUAACCAUUAUAGGAUAUCACACUUCUACGCAAACAUAUCAUCUUCAUUGUAUUUUAUGGGAUUAUGAGAUCAAUUAAAAUAAUACUCAUUUAGAUUCUCACAUCAAGGUUGAGAAAUGAUUGUGAUAUCAUUCAUAGUGAUUUAGGUGGUGUUUGUUUUUUUGGCUUUUUACUCAAAACCAUUUAGUUUUAGAAUUUAAGUUGUUUGUUUUUUUACUUUUUCAUGUCUUAUAAUAAACUUUUUACUAACUAGAAAAAGUCAAAGGAGGUGUUUGUUUUUUUACUUAAUUCUAAAUAGAACAUUAAUGCUUAAUAGUGUUAAAUAUUAGGUUGUUUGAUUUUAUAGUAUUUUAUUUCUAUUAAGUAUUAAAAAGUAAAAAAAAAAAAAAAAAAACCAAUAUGUUAUUUUUUUUAGUUAGAAAAAAGUUACAUAUUUUGGUUUUUUCUAUUUAGUAAAAAGUUUAUAAUAAGUCAUGAAAAAGUAGAAAAACAAACAACCUAAAUUCUAAAAUUAAAUUGCUUUCAGCAAAAAACCAAAAAAACAAACACUACCAAAAUAUGAGGUCAUGGACCAUGCAAUAUCGUGACGCUACAAGCUUUGAUUUUGGCCAAUUUUUUUAUUCAAAAAUGUUUAUUUACUUAUAUAUUUGAAAUUUGAUUUUUAUCUCUAACUCAAAGUCAUUAUUUUAUUUUUUAAAUGAAAAAAAAUUAAAAUAAAUCUUCCGUGGUUGAGGCCCUACAAGAUCUCAAAUGGCUUCCAAAAAAGUUAACAAACCAUGAAAUGAGAAUGGAUUUGAGGUUAAGUUACUCAACAAGAAGAUAUGAGGCACCUCACUAAGCCGGAAAUGCAUUGGCAAUUAAUUUAUUUAUUAAUGAAUAAGUGUCAAAUAAAUAUAAUAAAGUUCAUCUUCUCAUUUAUGAAAAAAAAAAUCCUUGUGUUAAAAUGAACUUAAUAAAUCAACCAUAAAAAUUUUAAUAAAAUAAAUUUCCAUAUCAAAAGUAGUUAAAUUUACAAAAUGAUAUUGUUUUAUAUUGUUAAGUAUUAGUUAUGAGAUUACUAUAUGUGUGAUUAUUUUUGCAAGGGUUGGCAAAUGAUAGAGAAGUUUUAUUUUUGGGUAUUGAGAGAAAAAAAAAACACAGGGAAAAUCCUAAAGGGUGAAAGGUUUUAGGAUUCUCUUGUACUCUCUUUUUAUCAUAGUGAAAAUCUGCAAUAACUACAAGUGGAUGUAACUUUCACAUUAAGUGUGAACCACUAUAAAUCUCAUGUGGCUUUUUUUUUUUUUUUUUUUUUGUACUUUGUUUUUCGUAUUGGUUUAUCAUCGCUUUUGGAAAAUAAGAUCAGAGUGUUUUAAUCCUAACAAUAGCAUGUUGUUGCAUUUGUUCACGCCCAAGGAUGUAUGGAAAGAAAGAAAGAAAAUAGUUGCAUGAAUUGAAAAUGAAAGUAAAUAAAUAAAUAAAAACCUAAAGAGGGUAAUUUGUGAAAAAGAAUGAAAAAAGAAAAGAAAAUGAGAUAUCCCAACAAGAUGAAUUAAGAAAGGAAAGAAAUCCUCAAUGUGAAAGACACUAAUUUACCGUAAGGAGACUCCCAAUGAGAGAGUACUUGAGUACAAAUACAUGAAAGCUCAAGAACAACAAUGUAUUAUUUAAUUAUUUAUAAACAUUUGCAUCAUAUAUAUAUUUGGAUCGAAGAUUUAUAUAUAAUGAUAGAAUGAUAUCAAAUGUAUAUUUGAAUAAAUUGUUAGAUGAUAAAUUGAAGAGUUUAUUUUAUGCAAAAAAAAUUGGAAUAUUUAAUGAUAUAUAUUAUUAUAAUAGAAAAUUGACAAACCUAGUUAAUUUAAUUUUUUGUAUGAUUAAAGUUUCUAUUAAUGUAUAAUGUGAAUAAAUUUUUAUUUUUUUUUCAUUUGAUUAUAUUACACAAAAUUAGAAUUUUUACUUGUUUGGAUGCAUAAAACCCCAUUGAGAAACAUGGAAAUGUUAACACUUUUUUUCUAAAAUUUUUAGAUGUAGAUAUUAUUCCCAAGAACUAUAGAGAAAUUAAGAAGAGUUCCAAAAGGGUCCAAAAAUUGAUGGAACAACUUAAAUGAAUUUUAAAUUUAUACGAUAAUAGUUUCGGGCUAUGAAAAUUUAUUAUAUUUAUAUGGUUCUUUAUAGUUGUAGGCUAAGAGAAUUUCUCGCCUUUAUAUGAUUCCGCAUACAUUGUUUAAUCAAAACUAUAUGUGAAAAUUUCACAAUCGUCCUUCAACUUUGUACUAAAUAUAUUUAGUCAUCAAAAUUUUGAAAUUUCAAUAGAUAUUUCUCUAAUUUUGAAUCAAAAAAGAAAUGAGUAAAAAUAAUAAAUGAAAAGGAUAUAAAAAAUAUUUGUCAGAAUUUCAAAUUGAGGAUGGUAAGAUAUAUUUAGUCCAAAUAUAACGUGGGGAGUGAAAUUAACCCUCAAUCUUAACGGAGGUUUGAUCCAGAUGGAACCAUGGGUAGAGCAAGGGCUUAUGACAAGAAAGCAACCCACUCACAGCCGAAUUGUUCAAAAACUGGGCUGGCCCUGGCUCAGUCCAGCCCAUUAUCACCUGCAGGCUGUUUACACAACUUCUUCUCCAAACGCUACGAUUGGAUCAAUUCUGAGUUCAAGGUGCUGCAACUAUCUAUUCCGAAGUCAAUCAAUCAACCUCUAGGUUAGAUACAGUUGUUUGAAUACCGAGAAAAUAUUGCUUCUAGGAUGCUGAGAAAAUAAUGGGAUAUUUUUUGGGAAUCCAGAAAACGGCACUUUACCUAAAACUCAUAUGACCAUUUCAUCUCGGUUUUUAUUUAUUUUUAAGUUUUUUUUCUUUUUCGGAUUUUUUUUUUCACAAUAAAGAAAGUGAGAGAGAUAACAUAGGAGUCAAAAUAUGGUUUAUAUAUAUAUUCAUUUUCUUGAUAACCAAACAGACGGUUGGAUUCACUUUGUGUGCUUUAUAACUUAAAAAAUCUAUUUCUGAACUUUUAGGGUUUCUCUUCAAGUGGUUGUGAAAAUAUUGCAAGGUUUUUUUUUUUUGAAAAAAAAAACCCUUAUUGUUCAAAAUGGGACAUGGGAGUUAGUUCCACCUACCCCACACAAAACUUUGUUUAUUGCAAAUGGGUUUUUUCAUACUAAACAUUACUCUAAUGAUUCUAUCAAUAAGUUUAAAGUUUGUCUAGUUGUGAAGGAUUUUCACCAACGACCAAGAGUAAAUUAUCAUGAUACAUUCAAUCAAUGGUUAAACCUACCAUUGUGCACCUUGUUCUCAGUAUAUCAGUUAGUUGUGGGUGAUUUUUUUGUCAACUUGAUGUUAAUAAUGCUUUCUUGCAAGGUCAUCUUGCUAAGAAUAUAUAUAUGGCACAACCACAGGAUUUUGUUGACUUUGACUAUCCCUCUUAUGUGUGUAAAUUUCGUAAGGUCAUCUAUGGGCUCAAGUAAGCUUCACGUGCUUGGUACACGAGCUUCACCAAUUCCUUGAUGCCUCUGACUUUAAAAAUUCUCAUGCCGACACCUCAUUGUUUGCUCUCAACAUAGGUAGUCAUACUAUCUAUCUCCUCAUUUAUGUUGACGACAUUAUUAUUACAAGAAGCAGUAUUGAUGCAAUACAAUGCUUUGAGGUCCUACUAGUGCCUAAGGGUUUUCUCUCAAGGACCUUGGACCUCUUGCCUACUUUCUUGGUGUGGAGGUUGUUCCACAUGAACAUGGGCUCCUUCUCUCCUAACAUCAAUACAUUGAGGAUUUACUUGUUUGUACCAAAAUGACUAGUGCCAAACCAGUUGUCACACCUCUUCCCACCAACCCAACACUUACACUCCAUUAUGGAUCUACUCUCAUUGAUCCCAUAGAACAUCGACCCAUUAUUAGGAGUACAUAAUAGAUCCUUUGCGGUGAAUACACUCUUUCAAUUUAUGCAUCACCCCACCACCGAUCAAUGGGCUAUUGUGAAGCGCCUACUACAUUAUUUAUGCGGUACUUCUAACCAUGGACUCUUCUUCCAUCGUGACUCUCCCAUGUUGCUCCAUCCUUUCUCUGAUGUAGAUUGGGUCGACAAUAAGGAUGACUUCACUUCAACAAGUGCUUAUAUUGUUUAUCUUGACCACAAUCUCAUCUCAUGAAGUUCCAAGAAGCAACAUACUAUUGCCCACUUCUCUAUAGAAGCCGAAUAUAGGUCGAUUGCUACUACAACUAUUGAACUAUGUUGGAUGUGCUCUUUUCUUACUAAACUUGACAUUUAGCUUCCACAAGCACAUGUGAUUUAUUGCAACAAUGUUGGUGCUACUCAUUUUUGCUCCAAUCUAGUUUUUCAUUCACAUAUGAAGCAUGUGGCCAUUGUUUUUCAUUUCAUUCAUGAUCAAGUACAUAACGAUGCUCUUCGCGUUGCUUAUGUAUCUUAUAAAGAUCAACUAGCGAAUGCUCUCACCAAACCACUUCCACACACCCGUUUUGAUUCUCUCAUGUUCAAGAUUGGACUCUCCAUGUGGAGCUCAAUCUUGCAGGGCAUAAUAAAGGAAGUUAUUAUAUUCUCUUUCAAUCACUAAUUUGUUUCCUUUUAUAAAUAACCUAUUGAUUGUAAAUUAAUUAUAUUCUAAGUUAUAAUUUAGGUAAUUAGGGAACUUUUCGGAUUCCUAUUUUUUAUAUAUGUAUAUACAUAUUUUUCAUGAUCAAAGAAAUUAUACAAUAAUUUACCAAUCUCAUUCGUAGUCAACAAGAGAGAGAGAGAGAGAGAGAGAACACAUUAGUGCAAAACUAAGAUAUCAAGUUUUUUGGGACUAUGGAAUCAACCUGUGAUGCGAUGACUGCAUCCCAAUAGUCAUCAUCCCAUUGAUCCUUGUACCCAUCUCGCUUGGCUUUUGCUAACAUGGCACACUCCUUGUACAUCCUUCCUGUCCACUCCUUCAAUGGUGGCAUUCCCACCUGAGCAAGUAGCCAAUUCAUGUACUCAAUCUGACAUCAAACCAUCCACAAAAAAAAGGGAGUCAUUUUCACGAUAAUGGAAACAAAUGGAAACGUUCUCCAUAGAAGUCGAGAUUCUUAUUACCAUACAGAUUAUCUAAAGAGCUACAAAUAUUUGAUAAGAAAUGGCUUUAUCCAAUGAUAAGUCCUUAAGAAGAUUAAAUAUGAAAGAUAAGCAAAUAGAUGGAGCACCUCAUUGGGGGGAAGGACAUGGGUGAAGCGCUUGGGCACUCCAGUUUCCUCCAUAUGAUGAUAGUAUUUUUCGAUAUCAGACAUCAUCUCCUCUUUUGUUGGCAGCAAUGCCUUACCAGAUAAAACAUGUGCCAACCACUUGGAUUGUAACUCGGCUGUCAUAAAUGGGGUACCCUGAUUGCAAAAGAAAAAAUUCCAUUGUCAAUUGCCCAAAUCUUAAGUAGUCUGGUUAGUCAACAGAAAGUUAAUCUACAACAGACUAUAGAAUCAAUCAAAUGUGCAUUAACAUACAGAAAAUAGAAUCAAGGAAAGAGGAACAUCUUUUCUUGUGGUAUGCUAUUUUAAUCACAUUAAUGAAUUUUAUAGCAAGAUCCAUUUGGUAUGCUUAGGCCAGAAAAUUUAUAGUUCAUAUCUAAUUAAUGUUUAGUGGCCGGGUAUUUCAUGAGUUCUACAAAAUGAACAAAACUAUUUUCCUUUUCAAAUUUAGCACACCAUUAUGUGGGAAUAUGUGGUUGAAACAACAGACCUGCUUAGGCAUUCCAAUGAAAGAGAGCCAAGGAGCUAAGCGCGGAGGGAAGACAUGUUUAUACAGUGGCCCAACACGGUUGUCGUCAAUGGUUACAAUUCCAUUUGUUUCAAUAAAUGGAAAAUGGUAUUUGUACCUGCAAAAGAUAUCAUUCAGAACUUGAAUGACAAAAGGAAUAUGCUAAAGCUCAUCAACAAGUCAUUCACUGAGAGAACCAGCAGGAGGAGCAAUGAAGGGAGGAUAGGAAGAUAAAAUGUGAAGGGCUACUGAGGAAAAAACAAUGAAAAGUGAAGCAUUUGAUUCAUACCCAGUACAGUAAAAAAUGGUAUCUGCAUGAACUGAGGAUCCAUCUUGAAAGACAACCUUACCAUCUUCAUCAACAAAUUCUAUCUGUAAAGAUAGGAUUGAGAAUGAGUACCUCACACCUUGAAAUACACUUUGUUAGCUUACUGUUCAACCAAAAAAUGAAACCUUCAAUAUGACAGUUUUGAUUGAAAUGCAAACCGAAAGCACCCUUUAAGUCUGGAUUUAGAGGGUGUUUCAAUAAUUAACUUAAUAAUUUAAUAUGACUUAAGAAGUACUUAAAUUAAGUCACUAAAUAGAAUAAGCACAUUUAAUAAAAUAACUUAAUACAACAACUUUAAAAUUAAUUUUAAAUAUUAAAUCAAAAUAAUUAACUUAUUCUUAAUUAAAAAUAAAAAUAUUGAUAAUCACGCAUAUAUUAGUACUUUGAUUUUAUGAAUAUAUCGAGAUAUAUUAAAGAAUAUUUUGAUACAAAAUAUCGGUGAUGUAAAAAUUAAUGAAAAUAUCAAGAAAAACUCUAAAAAUUUAUAUAAGAAAUAAAAAAUGGACAUUUUAAAGUUAUUUUUUUUUGAAAAAAAAUUAUAUCUAUAAUUUUUCAUAUUUGAUAAUAAUAACCUCUACGUCGAUAAAAAAUAUAAAUUUUAUAAAUGUACAUUUAUUAUUAAGUUGCAUCAUAUAUUAUUUUACAAUAAUAUUACGAUAACAUAUCUAAUUUUAAAAUAUAUUUAAUAUCAAAAUUAUGAUUCAUUUUAAUUUAAAUGUAUUCAAUGAUAUCAAAUAAAUAAUAAUAUAUGUACAAUUUGUUUAAUAUUUAUAUUUUUAUAUUUAAUAAAUAUAUAGAUUAUAUAAAAAGACCUAUUAGGAAAAUUAUGUUUUUAUAUUUUUGGUAAUAAAUUAAAUCAAAUGUAAAAAUAAAAUACUUAGAAUUAAUUUAUUUAAUAAUAAAAAAUCAAAAUAUUGGUAAAAAUAUUUGGAAAUAUCGGCGAAAUAUCGCUUGCAAUGAGAAAAAAAUAAAAAAAAAUAGUUAAAAUAUCAAUAAAAUAUUUGAAAAUAUUCGUUGAUGGAUAUAUCUUUCUGAAUUUCGUAUCGGGAUCCACAGAUAUUAGAUAUAUCGAGAUAUUUUAGACCUUGCUCUAAAUUUCAAAUCCUUUGACCUCAUUUGCCUACAUCUAGUAAUGGUACAUUUUACAACUAUAACUCAACAUUUGUGACUUAUUUUUUAUAAUAAGUAUUUUUUUUGUUAUUUUAUGUAUUUAAAAUACUUUAAAUAUAUAUAUUUAACAAAUAAAUUUAUUAUUUAAAAUUAGUGAAAAUAAAUAUUAGUUAAAAUCAAUUAAAAUAAAUAUGAAUUAAAAUUAAUGAAGAUAAGUAUGUCAAUUCAAUGAUUUAAAAUAAAUUUUAAGUUAAUUUUACUAAACAACUUAAAAUAAAAAAGUAAUAAGUUUUAAAUUAAUAAUUUAAAACUAAUUUUAAUUUGAAGUGAAAUUAAAUCAUUAAAUAGUAGAUAUUAAGUUUUACAAAACAUCUUACAAUUGCUCGAAGCUUGGAUUUGGAGAACUAAUCACAAUUUCCAACUUGGGGUCAGACCGCAUGUGGCUCCAACAACCCCACAUUUUCAAAUGAAUAUGAUAGAUAAUUUGAGAUAUGAAAAAGAAAAAAGAGGAAGGUUACCAUUUCAUGCUGCCAUAUGUUUUUAUGGUUGUCUAAUUUUCCAACUGUUACAUUAGGGGCUCUUGUUGCGAUGUGAACUUCCUUGGCUACUGUCGCCACAUCUCUAGAGAUAUCAAAAGCACUAGGUCCAAAUCCAAUGAGAACCACCACCUGUCGGGUACAGUAUAUUUGUAAAUAUUCAAGAACUGGCAAACAAAAGAGUAAAUUAAUCCAAUUUAAUAAAAGAAACAAUGGGACUAUAUUAAACUAACCCCAUAAAGAGUGCUAAUUAAUAAACAGUGAACUGCUUUGAGAUUAGAAUCCUAAGAUUAAAGAACAUAAUUUGAUGCUAUCCGGACUUCUGCCAUAUGGCAAAGAUUUAUAUUGAAAUUUCAGUUCAUAAACCGACCUGCUUCCCAAGAGAAGUUGACGGGGGCCAUUAUAGAUGUUAAAAGGGAAAUGUGUUCUCUUCUAAAAACCCUGAAAACACAAGGACCGCAUCACCCAAAAUAGAUGCUCCUACCGCCGGCCCAUAUACAACACUCCACAACUCCAACAAACAUGUCUUUGUUCCAUGACCACUAAACUUGGGGACAAGUUUCAACACAUUGACUGAGUAGCGUGUCAGUGAAAAGUAGGAUGCUUAACAGGCUGAGUAGCGUGUCAGUGUGUGGAUAUUAGAGUUAUGGGUGCUAGGCAUUCGCUUGGUGGUGACUUGGGAGUGGCAACACCUUUGGUGCACAAGCAAGGCACCAUGUGGGUGGUUCAACUUGACAAAAAUUCAAGUGUGAGAUUUCACUUGAUAAUAAAAAAAUAAAAAUAAAUGCUUUAAAAACUCUUUAAGGUGAGGGAGGUGACUCUCCAAAACUAUGGUGAUAGAACAUGGACGGCAAUGGUAUAUCACCCUAACCUAGUUCAAAGUCAUAGUUUGGGUCAUUGACUCAAGAGGUGUUGAGGCAUAUCAAUCUCAGCUUGGUAUCAAGCCAUACAAAAAAUAAGUUCACUAAAAAGUUUAAAAAAUUAUGAAAAUUAUCAUAACUAUUGGUAUAAUCAAAUAAGUUAAAAAAUUAAUAAAAAACAUGUAUAACUUUUAACAUUGUUUAAAUAGUUAUAAAAAUAUGUACUCAAAGUUAUUUAUAAUAAUGUUAAGAAUUAAAAAUUAUUUUAUUUUAAAUAUAAUAAUAGUUUGCUAAAAAGACAUACAAUUAAAUAUGAAUUAUGCAUUGAACGACGUGGGAGCUCAAAAUCAUCAUCAUUUGUCCUAUAACGAGUAUAUAAAUUGGGGUGGUAGUUCCCAUGAUAAGGAUAUGGUUAAAAGAGUUAUCUAUAGUUCAAAUAGGUUAGUUGAGAUGACUAGCUUGAUGAUAGGUGAUCGGAACCUAUGGUGAUAGUACCCAAAACCUCAAUACCCAAUGUUGCUACUAAAAUAAGAUUGAUCAUAUGCAUAGUAAUCAUUAGCUCAUGUUCUAGUAUUUGAUUACUCCUCUGGAUGCAUCCUUAGAAAUAGAUCAAAAUAGUUUCUACUAGAAGUAGUGGUACGUACUAUAACAUUGUCUAAAGCUAUGAUGUGAUUUAUCAUCUACUCCUUUAAAAUAUUGUCAUCUUACACGCAAAGUCUACAUAUGCUCAUCAAUACCUUGAUAAUUAAGUCUAGGAUAAUAUUGUCUACUAGAAUAAUCAUCAUUAUUGGAAAAUGUAGUUAGUCUUUCUAAAUCAUUAUAUGAUAUGUAUCUUAUGUGGCAUAGUAAAUUUUAUCUCCUUGUACCCAUGACAUGUUUGAAUUUGCUUAACUAAUAUAAUCACCACCUUCACUUUCAGAUAGUCGAUCACCACUAUUGUUGCUCCUUUUAUCAUUAUCAUUGUCAUCAUCAUAGUGAGUGACAAAGAUUCUCACUUCAUGAGUAAGUUUUGAGUUGAGCUCUUCAAGAUGUUAGGAUCAAAACCAAAAUUUUCAACUAAAAUCACCGUCAAAUAGAUAAUUAGACUUUUAAAAAAAUGGAUGCAAAUGCAAUAAAAGUAUUUGAAGCACUACAUGAUUGCUAGACAACAUAAUUUUUUGGAAUUUCUAGAAGUGACUCGGUGUUGUUAUAAUCUACACAAGAUUUCUUCUAUAGGAUUGUGCCCAUUCAAGAUGGCAAUUAGGCAACAGCCUAAUCACAUGCCUUUAGAUACGUUGGUUUGGAUAUAAGUUGAGCAUCACAUAGUCAUGUAGCCUUUUGAUUCAUGGAAUCUUGUUAGGAAAUGCAUGAAAAAGCAAAAGAAAGUUUGGAAAAAGACAACAAAUGAAUGAAAAAGUGUACUAAUAAAAAGAGGAAACCCUUAGAGUUUCAAGUUGGCAAUAGAGUAUCAUUGAAACUUACACCACAAAUUUGGAAGAACAUCAACACCCAGAAAGUAUUGAGGGGUUUCAACCCCAAGUAUGAUGGUGCCUUUGAAGUAAUAAAAAAGAUUGGUGCAAUUACAUAUAGGUUAAAACUUUCAUAUACACUAAAAAUUCAUCAUUCUUUUCAUAUUACUUUCUUUAAGCCCUUUCUUAACAAUCAAGAUCCCACUGAGAUAUAGAAAAGCAUGCACCUUAGACUAUCCAAAAGUAGUUUAAGUGAGAAGCCUAUAAGAUCUUGGAUCAUCGAACUAUGGAGCUAAGUAAAAAGAAUAGAAAGAUUGAUUACCCAAUCCAUUAAAAGGGGACUCUUGAAAAUGAAGUUAGGUGGGAGAGGUAUACAACCUUACGACAGUAUGAAAAGGUAGUACAAGAGUAUAUGCAAGCUAAGUCAAUGAAGGUGCAAACUCCACUUGGUGUGGUGGUUUUUCAGCAUCUUAACUACAAUGAUAUGGAACCAAAACUUCAUGUGGUGGCACCUUGUAACCGUGAGUGGUAUAACGUGGGGGCUGGCAUGCCAUGUUGAAGACAAGAUGAAAAGUUAGAGUGUUUACAAGGCUAAGAAGCAUAUUAAUGCAAAGGGAUAACUAUUAUGGGUGCAAGCGUUGGCUUGGAUGUGGAAACUUGUAGUUGUAACAUGCAUAAAUGCACAUGCAAAGCAACCAUUGGUGGCUCAACUUAUAAAAAUUUAAGUGUAAGAUUCUGUUGAGCUACGAUUUUCCUUCCAAAGGAGAUGCCUUAUAGAAGGGGUUUUCAAGUGGAGAAAAACUUUUUGAUGUUUUCUAUAAAUAAAGAAAAUCCAUUAUGCAAGUAGAAACACCAAUAAUAUCCUUAUGUGUCUAAAUAAGAAAUGUUUAAAACUUAUUAAGGAAGAAGGGAAUGACUCUCUUCAAGGGUGGUGAUGGAACAUGACUUACGAUGGACAUGUCACUCUAAAAGCACAACAUAGAGCCUCAGACAUGAUCAAGGUGUGAUGGGAAAUAGUGAUUUAGCCAAAAAGUUUGAUUUGAGGGGGGCAAAAGUGUAUAUAUAUAUAUAUGAUAAUAAGUUGUUCAUAAAUUUGAAAAUUAGUUAAUGACAUCCUCCUUAUCAUUCAACAAAUUGAAAAAUAGUUAAUAAUAUCCUCCUUAUCACUCAACUAACAAAGUAAUCAAGUAAUUUAAAUAUAUAUAUAUGAUAAUAAGUUGUUCAUAAAUUUGAAAGAUGGUUAAUGACAUCCUCCUUAUCAUUCAACAAAUUGAAAAAUAGUUAAUAAUAUCCUUCUUAUCAUUCAACAAACUAAGUAAUUAAGUAAUUUAGGCACUCAUAUAUAAAUAAAAGUAAAUAAAAUUAUUAAAUUAAAUCACCAACUUAACAAAAAUAUUAGCAAAAAUUAUUAGAUUUUAUAAAAUAAAAUAAAUUAAAUUAAAAGAAUUUUUCAAAAAAAAAAAGUUAAAAAUGAUUAAAAAUCUAAGUAGACAAUUAUCAAUAAUUUUUCUUUAAAAAUCUUUAAAACUUCUUCAAAAUUUUGUAUAAUUUCUUUUUUGAGAUUUUUUCAAAUCAACAUAUAUGUGUAAAAUCAAUUGAAAGUAAUGAAAUCAGUUACUUUAAAAUUAUCUAUCAUAUGGUCAUAUGAGGGUGACACAUUUGCUAAGAUAUUAAGGUCUUGAUAUUUAGAGUUUUAAUAGAUUCAUAUAUCAAAAUUUAAGUAGUUCCUAAGAAUUUAAUAGAUAUUAUUGUCUAUAGUUCAAAAUAUUUUAUUCGUCAUGUGUUCUUCAAUAGCUAAGACUAAAUAUAAACUCAAUUAAUAUAAAUACAUUUAAAAUUUUCAUAUGGAAAUGGAUCAAAGAGAAUAUACAAUCAAAAUUUAUUUAAUAAAAUGUCAAAUAUAAAAUGAUCAGACACUUAAUUUUAUUCAAAAAUAAAAUAAAAUUAUAAGAAUAAGUUAAGAUGGUGUCAACCCUAAAGUUAAGAAUUGGGUAAAUCCUCCAAUGGCCCUGAGGGGACUUGAACCAGUAACCAUUGGAGAGCAAAUCCAAAAUCCAAAAAUCAGACCAAUUGAGUUAUCUCUCAAUGUUCAAGGAAGAUAAAUAAAAUUAAUUGUUUAAAGUAAAUAUUUCUUUUUAGUUUAUUUAAAAUUUAUAAAUUUAUUUUAUUUAAAUCCAUAGUAUUUAAAAUAUAAUUAUUUUUAUUUUAAAAAAAUGAAAUGAAAUUUAUAUUUUUAAAGGUUCAUUUUAAUUUUUAAAGUGGCUAACUAUACAUAAGAAUUCCUUUUAUAACAAAAAAUGAUGGGGGGAGGGGGCAGUAUACACAAGAAUUUUUUUAUUUUUAAAAAAAUAGAAGAGGGCAUGCUCCUCUAACCUUGAUUUGAUCUACACAUGAUGGUGAGCCUUGCUAACAUGUAAAAAAUGGGUGCAAUACUAUUUUACACAGCACAGGUUAUGCAUGCCUCAAAAGGAAGUAAUAAGCAAUGUUGUCAUGCAUGAGUCGAUAGUUCAACAGAUGUAGACCGUGGACUGAGAAGGAAGCUUAGGCAUAUGAGCCAUGUUGCAGGAAAGAUGUAAGCUAAGAGGGACUUUGGCGCACAUUAGGUUACCUAUACAUACAUCAGCAACGAGUAGCACAAGUGGGCUCAAUAUGGUGCAACAGUUAAAGAUUAAUAAAAAAACCAAGCAAUGGUUGUUGGACAAUAAAAACAUGACACUUAGAGGCAUAAGGCUGUGGCACAUUAGCGUCAGGAAAAGCCCAAGCAAGAAACUAUUGGCACAUUAAAGACUUGAUGUGGAUGUAGUUGAUGUCAAUACAAAGUUGUGCGAGUCUUGUUCAAAAAGGCCUUGGCCAUUUUAGUAUAUAUUAUUAGUAUAUAUUACUUGAUAGUUAAUCCAAGUUAGAGGUUUUCCCUUAUAACAAAUGUGAUGCUUUGUAUUCUAUUGCUUGUGUAUAUUGUUAGACUACAUUGUUCGACUGGUAAAGUUUUGGUUUUAAAUGGCAACUACGCAUCUCGGCAAUGCAAAAAUACAAGGAAAAAAAUAUAAAUAUUUGAAAGCAAGGGCCUUUUUGUAAUUCCAUGAGAAUCAUAUGAAAUAUUAAAAUGAGCUCGUCCCUGUAGUGAAAAUAAAAUAAAACAAUUUCUUUUCCGGAGAGACGUAGACAACAACUUAAGUGCUAGCUCAUUGAUACACUUCUUAUUUUUUUAUUCUAAAAAUGAAAAAUAGUAAUAACUUCUAUAUAAAAUCUAGUAUCUCUUAUAUUAAAAAGUAUAGUUAAACUUACUUUAUAUUCUUAAAAAUUAUUUUUAAAAUUUGAUAUAAUAAAAAAAAAUUUUAGUACCUUAUUAUUUUUAAAUAGAUUUUAAAAGAUAUUAUUUUUUAAGAUAAAUUUAAAAGUUCUUACACUUUACAUAUGAGUUACUAUCAUAUUCUUACUUAAAAAAUAGAAAACAAUCACUAACUUGAUAACUUUCAUAAACUCGAAUAUUAGACCUAUUGAAAAUAUUGCAUUUAGCUUUGUAAUCAAUAACAACCAAUCAAUUGUGGCAAAUGAAUAAAUACCUGACCCGUGAAUGGUUUAGGAAUGCGAUAAUUGUGGCUAUGUAUUUGAUAUCCACGCCAUUUUUCAAUACCUGUCACAUAUUAAUAACCAAAAAUAAACAUCAAGGAUACAUUUAAUAUUUGUUUGGAUGCACUUUUUAUUCUUUAUUUUUAAAAUUAGAAAAUAACAAUGACUUUUAUAUAAGAUACAAUAGCUAUUACAUUAAAAAAGUAAUAAUUUAAAAAAUGAUUAAAAUUUAGAGGUUACUUUCUUAAAUUUUAAUUUUUUUAAAAAAAUACAAGGUAAAUCCAUAAAAAUGUUUUAAUUUUAUGUACAAGUUUCUAAUUUUAAAUAUAAAAAAUAGAAAGUGAAAUCUAACUGACAAUCAUUUAUUUUGAUAACAUUUUGAAUUUUUCCAAUCAUGUGAUUGAAGCAAUGGAUACAAGGACAAAAAAAAAAGAGUUAACCGGUAAGACAAGAAUUUCAAACUUUGAAACCAUAAAAGCUAAUAAACAAUAUUUUCAUAACCAAACCUGAUAUUGAACCAGAAAAAUUGCUAAUUCACGGUUCACUGGUCAAACCGAUGAUCGAAAAAUAGUCGAAACAGUAACAUCAUAAAUAUACAAUUUAUAUUUUAUUAAAAUUAAAAAUAAUUAUAAGAAAUUUAUAUAAAAUUAAAAUUCUUAAUAAUAUUUCAAUUGUUAUAUUUGAUAUAUCAAAUUAAAUAAUAAAGAUAAAUAUAAAUGUACCAAUAUAUUAGAAUUUAUUAAAUGGAAUAGGUAUAAUAUUUAAAUAUGAAGGUGAAAAGAAAAUUAUAAUAUUUAAUUUAAUUAUAUAUCUAUAUAUUUUGUUAUUUUAAACAUUAUUAUAUUAAUUAAUUUAUAUUAUUUUCAUAUUUAUCAUUAAUAAUUAUUAUAAAAUAAAUUUGGUAGAAAUAUUUAUAUAUGUUUAGUGUGUUAUAUGAUAAAAAUUUAAAACAACCAUGUAUAUAAUUUAGAUCUUUAGCAAUUAUAUAUCAAAGUUGACAAGUAGUAGAAUAGUUCUUUACACAUAUAAUCACAAAUCCUAGGUUUGACAGUGCAAUCUGUCUGAUACUCCGGACCCGAUAAAAAAGAUCGUCAGUUAUUUUCAAAACAUGUCUAAUAAAGACAAAAAGGAGUAUUCACCAAUAUAAAAUAUUAAAAAUUAAAUGAUUUUUAAUCAAUAGUUGACCGAUUCAUUAAAAAGGUUCGACGGUCUAACCAACGGUUCAAAGUCGAUCCAAUAUUCUGAACGAGAUUAGAGGGGUCCAAUACUUGGGACCACUUCGAACUAUUAUCACUGAUCAUUUUCAAAACAUGUUUAAUAAAGAAAAAGAAGUGCUCACCCAUAUAAAAUAUUAAAAAUUAAAUCAUUGGCCGUAAAAUAAUAUAGCUCUUUUGUCCAAUGUAUCUUUAGCAUACAAUUGAUUUUCUAUCAUGGCCCAGGCCCACUAGAUCUGGAUCACAAUGGCAUAUAGAUAAAUGUGCGGUCAUCAAAGUAUCAAGCAUAGUGAAUUACUGUGAGACGCGCUACACCGUAUCAAAACACCGGAACUGCACUCACCGCACCAAAAAAGAACCGUAGAACUGCACUCACCGCACCAGAAAGAACCGUACCUGGAACCUCGACGAGAUGGGGCUCAGUGUAGUGUCCGUUACAAACGACCACAGCGUCAUACACUUCCCUCACCACCUUUGCCGACUCAGACCCACGACUCCUCGACUCAACCACCCACUCGUCGUUCCUCCCCUCAGCUCGCUCCGCUCGGACGACCUCGGUGCAGAACCGAAUCAACUCACGGAGUUGGAACUCGUCGGCGAACUCGUUUAGAAACCAAAGCACCUCCUCGUGACCUGGAAAGGUUCUUUGGUCCCCAUGGAUACGCUUGGCAAAUGGAUAAUCGAGAAAGCCCAUGAUUUGGCGGGGGAGGUUGGUGCGGAGAGAGUGGUAUAGGCUGGUGCCGACGACGGCGCGGGCAGGAUCGAGGCUGAGCGGAUCGGAGUCGACUCGUGAGUUGUAUAGCCAGGUUCCGCCGAGACUGUGUCGUUUUUCGAGGACGACGACGCGGUGGCCUUCCCGAUGGAGCUCGCGGGCGGCAGCGAGGCCAGCGACGCCUGCUCCGAUCACGGCCACUCUCGCUAACAGGGCCAUUAGGAAUGAGACGGCGCCUUCUGG